RNAcentral lists this transfer RNA (75 nucleotides) under Actinomycetes bacterium. RNAcentral's name for it is "tRNA-Ile". It matches the Rfam family "tRNA". From Rfam's summary of the family: Transfer RNA (tRNA) molecules are approximately 80 nucleotides in length. Their secondary structure includes four short double-helical elements and three loops (D, anti-codon, and T loops). The record is from RNAcentral. Lineage: Bacteria; Bacillati; Actinomycetota; Actinomycetes.
GGGCCUAUAGCUCAGGUGGUUAGAGCGCAUCCCUGAUAAGGAUGAGGUCGGAGGUUCAAGUCCUCCUAGGCCCAC